GCCCAUGUGGCAUAGUGGUUUGAGCAUUGGACUAUGGCUCUGGAGACUAGGGUUCAGCUCCCUGCUCAGCCA
Phrynosoma platyrhinos (Desert horned lizard) is the source of this 72-nucleotide non-coding RNA. The record is from the annotation of a GenBank genome assembly. NCBI's taxonomy places the organism in Eukaryota, Metazoa, Chordata, Lepidosauria, Squamata, Phrynosomatidae.